UUUAUUUUAUUUUAUUGAUCUUUUAUUUUUUUUAUAAUUAAAUUUUAAUUUUAAUUAAUACAAAAUUUAUUUUAUUACACUUUAAAUUUUUAUCUUUUAGUUUUCACAAAUAGAUGCUAGGAUCUAGUUAGUAGAUCUUAGUAUCAAUUUAUUUUAUACAUUUUAAAUUCUUAUUAUUUAUUUUUAUUGCAAGUAGAAGCU
This 201-nucleotide long non-coding RNA is filed under the name Elaeis guineensis (African oil palm). Its description in RNAcentral is "long non-coding RNA (EGUI_LNC050088)". Lineage: Eukaryota; Viridiplantae; Streptophyta; Magnoliopsida; Arecales; Arecaceae. The record is from RNAcentral.